CAGGCCUAACACAUGCAAGUCGAACGCGUGUAGCAAUACACGAGUGGCGCACGGGUGAGUAACGCGUGGAUAUCUGCCUUUUGGUUCGGAAUAACCCCGGGAAACUGGGGCUAAUACCGGAUGGUUCCUACGGGAUAAAGAUUUAUCGCCAAAAGAUGAGUCCGCGUACGAUUAGCUAGUUGGUGAGGUAAUGGCUCACCAAGGCGACGAUCGUUAGCUGGUCUGAGAGGACGAUCAGCCACACUGGGACUGAGACACGGCCCAGACUCCUACGGGAGGCAGCAGUGGGGAAUAUUGGACAAUGGGGGCAACCCCGAUCCAGCCAUGCCGCGUGAGUGAUGAAGGCCUUCGGGUUGUAAAGCUCUUUUGGCGGGGACGAUGAUGACGGUACCCGCAGAAUAAGCCCCGGCUAACUUCGUGCCAGCAGCCGCGGUAAUAC
RNAcentral lists this ribosomal RNA (439 nucleotides) under uncultured Alphaproteobacteria bacterium. RNAcentral's name for it is "bacterial SSU rRNA". It matches the Rfam family "Bacterial small subunit ribosomal RNA", at positions 43 to 526 of the family's 1533-position model. Lineage: Bacteria; Pseudomonadati; Pseudomonadota; Alphaproteobacteria. The record is from RNAcentral.